UUUAAUAGAUCAUAAACUCAAGAACGAAAGAACCGGAGCUGAACCCAAAACCAAACCGAUAUUUUCGAUACCUAUAUAGAUCUUAAACUAAAAUCGAAAGACGCAAAACCUAACCAUUUUUUUUUAUACAUAUGCAUAUUACAAACUAAAUUCGUAAGAAUCAAAGCCAAAUUAAAUCGACCUUAAUAUCUAGAUGUCCAAACGUAACAAUUAUUGUAGAUGUUAAGCGAUCAACUUAUAAGAAAGUGGAAAAAGACAAAAAGUUGCGCAAUGCUAUCAAGUAAACAAACCACUGCUUUUAAAUUUUUUUAAAUUUACUUUCCAGUAAAAAAAUCAAUGCUAAAUGAGUUUACCAAAAUACCCGAAAU
This 368-nucleotide small RNA is filed under the name Arabidopsis thaliana (thale cress). Its description in RNAcentral is "ATSL281730". The record is from RNAcentral. Lineage: Eukaryota; Viridiplantae; Streptophyta; Magnoliopsida; Brassicales; Brassicaceae.